UCCAUCAAGUAAUGAAAACUCAAGUUGCAGAGGGAGGACGAAAGGCGUGCGUCAACAUUAUUUUAUCAGAUGAGUUGUUGUCAUCUUAUCAUUACCUACUUUUGUCUAACAUAUUUCUUAUUUCUAUACAUACAUUAUUAACUAUUACUGUCUGUUUUUUUGAAGUGGAAAUGAACUUGAUCUUACGCUGUGGGAAACAUAUGUCAACCAAUUUAUGGCAUACACAAAAGAAAAUUCCACAGGUGGCCCCAAAACUAUCAUAAUCACUCAUGCUAUGGGCCAACAAAGUUCAAAUUCAUUUUUUACAGCUACGAGAAAGCUCCACAUCUCUAAUGCUUGGAAUGGAUCAAAACUAUUUAUUGAUUAUGAUCAUCCACAAGUCACUUCCUUCAAAGCUAAGCUGGGACACAUUGCUAGCUCCAACAUUCUUUCGCAGCAACUAUCCCAAAGUUCUACAUCUUAGGGGGCAUUUGAAGACAAAUCGUUCUCAUAUACCAAUGAUGUCAAAAGUAUUGUGGAUAUCAUUUCUCUUCAAAAUUCAACUUUUUGCAACACAAUUGGGACAACUAAGAGGUUCAAGUCAAGUCGGUUUAGUUGGUACUAUGAGCAGUGUUUAGCUUGUAAGAGAACUAAUAAAUCUCCUGGGGUGCCUUUCGUAUGUAGUUGUUGCGAAGAUAAAGUUGUACCAUCACAAAGUAUUACUUAUGUUGGUUUGUCUGCACAUGAUUUAAGAGACGUUAUGAAAAAGAUCAUCCAUAAAUAUACCCUUCUCACCUAGAUAAUCUGUUGGGCAAAGACUUUGGUUUUCGUGUGAAGUACCAACCGGACUAUAAGCAACCAUAUGUUGUCAAGCUUACCGAGGAUAAACAAAUCAUUCAAAUGAUCACAGAUGCAAUGGUUCAACUUGAGCAAACUUCAAAAGUUCCCAACAAUCCUCAAAUUAUCAAAGGGAUAUACACAGCUUCUAACCUACCAUUGUCCGACAAAGAAGUUGUCACUCCUACUCGGGUACCUAUUCCUACCAUGUCUGUUUCCCAAAACUCGAGUGACAAAGUUAAUUCAAGCAACACUCCAUGUAAGAGGUUAACCAAAGCAAAUUGUUUUGAGGACCUAGGAACUUCACAUAUGUUGUCACCAAAGCUAUAUGCAACCAAGCGAGGCAAAUAUUGCAAGAAAACAUGAGCCAUCACACUUUGUGACGUUUUUUUUGUACAACAAGCUUCACUUAUGUUGUUAAGAAAAAUUUAUUUUGUUAAUUUGGGAGCAUGUUCAACCUCCAUAUUUGUUUCUACCUCAUUAAUCAUUUUUGAUAUGUAUUCACAUCCACCUUUGACUAUGGUUGUUGGUUAAUUUGUAACCUAAUGUUAUUCACAUUGACAUUUCUAAUGUAACAAUCUAAAUCUUUAUUUAACUUGGCAUGAGUUUUCAAUUAUUG
This is a long non-coding RNA of Lathyrus oleraceus (garden pea), 1435 nucleotides long. RefSeq lists it as uncharacterized. Lineage: Eukaryota; Viridiplantae; Streptophyta; Magnoliopsida; Fabales; Fabaceae. The transcript is spliced from 8 exons. The record is from RefSeq and is a predicted model, not a curated record.